GUCCCUGUGCAAUGAAUAGCGCAUUGGACUUCUAAUCCAAAAACUGUGGGUUCGAAUCCCACCUGGGAUG
This is a non-coding RNA of Trichonephila clavata, 70 nucleotides long. NCBI's taxonomy places the organism in Eukaryota, Metazoa, Arthropoda, Arachnida, Araneae, Nephilidae. The record is from the annotation of a GenBank genome assembly.